RNAcentral lists this ribosomal RNA (497 nucleotides) under uncultured bacterium. RNAcentral's name for it is "partial 16S ribosomal RNA". It matches the Rfam family "Bacterial small subunit ribosomal RNA", at positions 28 to 507 of the family's 1533-position model. The record is from RNAcentral.
GAUGAACGCUGGCGGCGUGCCUAAUACAUGCAAGUCGAGCGAACGGACGAGAAGCUUGCUUCUCUGAUGUUAGCGGCGGACGGGUGAGUAACACGUGGAUAACCUACCUAUAAGACUGGGAUAACUUCGGGAAACCGGAGCUAAUACCGGUUAAUAUUUUGAACCGCAUGGUUCAAAAGUGAAAGACGGUCUUGCUGUCACCUAUAGAUGGAUCCGCGCUGCAUUAGCUCGUUGGUAAGGUAACGGCUUACCAAGGCAACGAUGCAUAGCCAGCCUGAGAGGGUGAUCGGCCACGCGAGAACUGAGACACGGUCCAGACUCCUACGUGAGGCAGCAGUAGGGAAUCUUCCGCAAUGGGCGAAAGCCUGACGGAGCAACGCCGCGUGAGGUAUGAAGGUCUUCGGAUCGUAAAACUCUGUUAUUAGGGAAGAACAUAUGUGUAAGUAACUGUGCACAUCUUGACGGUACCUAAUCAGAAAGCCGCGGCUAACUACGUG